UACGUAGGGCGCAAGCGUUGUCCGGAAUUAUUGGGCGUAAAGAGCUCGUAGGCGGCCUGUUGCGUCCGCUGUGAAAUCCCGGGGCUCAACCCCGGGCCUGCAGUGGAUACGGGCUGGCUGGAGGCAGGCAGGGGAGAACGGAAUUCCUGGUGUAGCGGUGAAAUGCGCAGAUAUCAGGAGGAACACCGGUGGCGAAGGCGGUUCUCUGGGCAUUACCUGACGCUGAGGAGCGAAAGUGUGGGGAGCGAACAGG
Molecule: ribosomal RNA, 253 nt
Filed under: uncultured bacterium
Lineage: Bacteria
Description: partial 16S ribosomal RNA
Rfam family: Bacterial small subunit ribosomal RNA
Source: RNAcentral